AAGACUGUGACUUUUAACGAGUCUCACUGUUGAACAGAGUCAGCUUUAGCAUCACAUGGAGUUAUGCACGAUGUGGUUCAUGUGACACCAGAGAAAUGCUUUUACUCCCUCGAGGGCUGGAGUCAAUUGGGAUCGACAGAGGUUAACCUGAGCAGGCUGCCGGGAUUCCAGCUCAUGACCCUUCCGAAGAUGUCAUUAAUGGCACAGCUCUCUCACAUUUCUUAGAACAGUUCUAAGAAAUGACUCCUGCUGCAUCCCUUCAAUUUAAGACGAGUGACUAAGCAGUAAUGACACAAAAGGAUUCGCGAGGAGAGACUAGUUACAAAACCAGCCGUGCCUGUGCCUUUCUCAUUUACGACGUCCCUCCUUUCCUCUGCACUCGCUUCCUGCUGUGGUGGGUGGAUUUGCACAUGGACACAGGUCUCUGUCACUCGUCCUCACAGCAGGCUAUACCCAUGUUUUGUAGCACUUCGCAUACUUGUCGUCAUUUUAUUAAUACUUUGUAAAUAUGUACAUAUCAUCGUCUUCCUGAGGACUCAGUUCCUGCAGGCAAGUCUGCACCUCCAGUAUCUGCCACAACUUCCUCCCGUGCCAGGAAAACACCAGCAUGGAGGAGAUACUCAAUGAACACUUGUCUACGGACGGGUCUGGAAGACCUGCUUCUCUGUGGUUUGGUUUCCAUUCACACUCUCCUCUGAUUUCAUCUCUAUAAAAGACGUCAGCAGACAGGAGAAACAUAACAGUGAUUCCCUCUGGAACCCAAGUUCUUCUAGGAGCGUGGUUCUCAACCAGGAAUAAUUUUCUUUAAAAUACCAACGUCCAGAUCCCAUGAAAUGAAAACCUCUGGGCUGGGAUUAAGCCUCAGAAUUUUUCGAGCCCCUGAUGAGUCAGUUAGCUCUGAGAACCAUAGCACUAAGCCUGUAGUUCCCAAAUUUGAGUGUGCCUAGGAUCAGCUGGGGUGGCUGUUGCGAAGUUCUCCCCCUCAGUGUAAACGCAAUAGACUAGACAACUGUUUCCAGAUUCUCCUCCCUCCACGCUAAGCACUAGCACCUUCCCACUGUGGGGGGGACACCUCCCAGCCACCUUUUCUGCUGAGCCGUGUGACUUGCUUUGGCCAGCGGGAUGGUGCCAGAUGAUCAGGCAGAGCCUUGAACAGCCCUGUGUGGUCCAGCCUGUGCACUGGCGCUUCUGCUAUGGCCAUGAGAAAAAUAUGCUUCCCCCAGCCAGCUGGCCUCAGGAGGAGGAGGAGAGACAUAUGGAGCAGGGCCAAACUAAUCCCCCAGCCCAGACCAGCUGACUGCCAGAUGAGCGUGGAAGCCCAGCCAAGACCAGCAGAGUUGCCAGUCAACCCCACUCUAGAUCAGCCAACCCUGACCCCUACCUGCCAACCUACAGACAUGGGAGCAAAAUGGUCAUUUUGUGGUGGUUUGUUACAUAGCAGCAGACAACUGAUGUAAUCUACACAAACAAUUCUCAUUUGGUGACUACUUUAGUCAGAAUCCUUAUGUUUACAACUAAUUAAAAGCUAACCCA
Molecule: long non-coding RNA, 1533 nt
Filed under: Equus caballus (horse)
Lineage: Eukaryota; Metazoa; Chordata; Mammalia; Perissodactyla; Equidae
Description: lncRNA (ENSECAG00000050473.1)
Source: RNAcentral